GAUGAACGCUGGCGGCGUGCCUAACACAUGCAAGUCGAACGAAGCGAUUUAACGGAAGUUUUCGGAUGGAAGUUGAAUUGACUGAGUGGCGGACGGGUGAGUAACGCGUGGGUAACCUGCCUUGUACUGGGGGACAACAGUUAGAAAUGACUGCUAAUACCGCAUAAGCGCACAGUAUCGCAUGAUACAGUGUGAAAAACUCCGGUGGUACAAGAUGGACCCGCGUCUGAUUAGCUAGUUGGUAAGGUAACGGCUUACCAAGGCGACGAUCAGUAGCCGACCUGAGAGGGUGACCGGCCACAUUGGGACUGAGACACGGCCCAAACUCCUACGGGAGGCAGCAGUGGGGAAUAUUGCACAAUGGGCGAAAGCCUGAUGCAGCGACGCCGCGUGAGUGAAGAAGUAUUUCGGUAUGUAAAGCUCUAUCAGCAGGGAAGAAAAUGACGGUACCUGACUAAGAAGCCCCGGCUAACUACGUGCCAGCAGCCGCGGUAAUACGUAGGGGGCAAGCGUUAUCCGGAUUUACUGGGUGUAAAGGGAGCGUAGACGGUAAAGCAAGUCUGAAGUGAAAGCCCGCGGCUCAACUGCGGGACUGCUUUGGAAACUGUUUAACUGGAGUGUCGGAGAGGUAAGUGGAAUUCCUAGUGUAGCGGUGAAAUGCGUAGAUAUUAGGAGGAACACCAGUGGCGAAGGCGACUUACUGGACGAUAACUGACGUUGAGGCUCGAAAGCGUGGGGAGCANACAGG
This 748-nucleotide ribosomal RNA is filed under the name uncultured bacterium. RNAcentral's name for it is "bacterial SSU rRNA". It matches the Rfam family "Bacterial small subunit ribosomal RNA", at positions 28 to 776 of the family's 1533-position model. The record is from RNAcentral.